RNAcentral lists this non-coding RNA (30 nucleotides) under Mus musculus (house mouse). The record is from RNAcentral. Lineage: Eukaryota; Metazoa; Chordata; Mammalia; Rodentia; Muridae.
UGAAACCUUUAAACUAUUCUAGACACAAGC